Molecule: long non-coding RNA, 1604 nt
Filed under: Gallus gallus (chicken)
Lineage: Eukaryota; Metazoa; Chordata; Aves; Galliformes; Phasianidae
Description: long non-coding RNA NONGGAT007197
Source: RNAcentral
GGAUGUUGAGAAUAUUUUGGGGUAGCACUGGAGUCUUUGGGGAAGGUGUCUGAUUUCAGCAUGUUCCCAGCCUUCUGCUUGGGAGAAGAAAGACAGAUGACGUUCCCAGCCCAUGAGCACCCAGCUCCACAGCCAACUCCUGGGCCAGGCACAGCACGAUGCCCAGCAGCUGGCACGAGCCUCACCAGAAAGCUGCUCGCUCACACCCAGCUCUGGCGCUGCUGGCUUGGCAUUCAUUUUGCUGCAAAAGGGAAGUUUGGAACACGCAGGAGUACCACCACGUGCCACAACUUUCUGGAAGGAUCCAUCACUAAGUUUUGUCCAAAAGGUCCCAGUUGGUCACAGCGGGAGCACAGCUCCUUCACAGACACGAUGGAGAAAGCGUGAGUUUGGCAAGGGGGAGCAGAGGCCAGAGAUAGUUUGGCACUCACAGGAAAACAGAGGCUUUUGGCAACACAAAGGGACGUUCCUUUAUCUCUAUGCAAAAUUACACUUUGCUUUUUGAGGAAGUGGAUGAGAUAGGAGCUGCUGGUUCCCCACCAACCACUUCGCCAGAUGCACAUUAAAACAUUGAGCAGUGAGAUCUGAUGCUCUGGAAAACUGUAUGCUCCAUUAGCAACACCUUGUUUAGAAAAACUGGGCCAUCUGGACUUCAGAAUAACUGUUUCAAGCUGUUUUCUUAAAGACUGAAGGAAGACAACACGAGAUUUAUUUGUACUCUGCAAGCAACUGUCCCCACAUUUAACAUCCCUGUUUUAAGCAAGCAGAAAAUGUGCAGCCCGAGCCUGCAGCAGAGCAACCUGCAUGGCAGCUCUGCAUUGGCAAACGCAAAGGGCUCAGAACAUGGCGAUGCUCACACAGAUAACAGAACUGCACUUUGUACAAACUCAGUGAGCUGAAUGCUGAUAGUAAAUUCCCUGGGGCUCAACCCCAGCUGCAGUUGAACUAACCUUGCACAACCUUAUUCCUAUAUUCAACUCUGAUAACUAUCCAGAAGACAAAACCACUCCUUAUAAAGAACUAACAUCAGAACUCAAGAACUUCAGCCCACUGAUGUCUCCUUAAUGUUGGUCAUCUCUCCUUCCCAGCUCCGGCCUUGAGAAGCUGCCCUCUGCCAGCACCUGAGCUAGCAUCAAGGUAUCUCUGCUGUAAAGCAUGUGGGGAUGGAGGGCAAAAAACAGCGUCCAACACCUACACGUAAGGGGAAAGGGGAAGACAAGCGUUCUUCUAUGGAGACGAAAAUGAGUUCAGGAAAUCUGGGCAUCUCCAGACAUGUGCUUCCAGUGCUUAGGAGACCAAUCUCAUCCAAAGACACAUUCAGAAGCCCAUGACAGAAGUUUUAUAUCCCUUGACAAUGAUUUCAGAGUUCCUUCUUUUGACGAAUAGCAGCGAAGAGCAAGGGAAAGUAGUCAGCAAUUUAUAAUUACCACCAGGAUAAAACAACACAACAACAACAAAGGCGCUGAUGUAAUCAAGUUCUUACCCUGUGCAACAGAAAAGACAGCAAUUUGAGGUUAACACGAGUGGCGUUUUGCCAGUUUCCUACCGUCCCUGGUUCUCACCUUGCAAACCAGCUGAACAGUAGCAGCUUCUUGUUUAAAAAA